UACGUAGGGCGCAAGCGUUGUCCGGAAUUAUUGGGCGUAAAGAGCUCGUAGGCGGCCUGUUGCGUCCGCUGUGAAAUCCCGGGGCUCAACCCCGGGCGUGCAGUGGAUACGGGCUGGCUGGAGGCAGGCAGGGGAGAACGGAAUUCCCGGUGUAGCGGUGAAAUGCGCAGAUAUCGGGAGGAACACCGGUGGCGAAGGCGGUUCUCUGGGCCUUACCUGACGCUGAGGAGCGAAAGCGUGGGGAGCGAACAGG
RNAcentral lists this ribosomal RNA (253 nucleotides) under uncultured bacterium. Its description in RNAcentral is "partial 16S ribosomal RNA". It matches the Rfam family "Bacterial small subunit ribosomal RNA", at positions 524 to 776 of the family's 1533-position model. The record is from RNAcentral.